GAUGAACGCUGGCGGCGUGCCUAAUACAUGCAAGUCGAGCGAACAGACGAGGAGCUUGCUCCUUUGACGUUAGCGGCGGACGGGUGAGUAACACGUGGGUAACCUACCUAUAAGACUGGGAUAACUUCGGGAAACCGGAGCUAAUACCGGAUAAUAUUUCGAACCGCAUGGUUCGAUAGUGAAAGAUGGCUCUGCUAUCACUUAUAGAUGGACCUGCGCCGUAUUAGCUAGUUGGUAAGGUAACGGCUUACCAAGGCAACGAUACGUAGCCGACCUGAGAGGGUGAUCGGCCACACUGGAACUGAGACACGGUCCAGACUCCUACGGGAGGCAGCAGUAGGGAAUCUUCCGCAAUGGGCGAAAGCCUGACGGAGCAACGCCGCGUGAGUGAUGAAGGUCUUCGGAUCGUAAAACUCUGUUAUUAGGGAAGAACAAACGUGUAAGUAACUGUGCACGUCUUGACGGUACCUAAUCAGAAAGCCACGGCUAACUACGUG
RNAcentral lists this ribosomal RNA (497 nucleotides) under uncultured bacterium. RNAcentral describes it as "partial 16S ribosomal RNA". It matches the Rfam family "Bacterial small subunit ribosomal RNA", at positions 28 to 507 of the family's 1533-position model. The record is from RNAcentral.